Molecule: ribosomal RNA, 385 nt
Filed under: uncultured soil bacterium
Lineage: Bacteria
Description: bacterial SSU rRNA
Rfam family: Bacterial small subunit ribosomal RNA
Source: RNAcentral
AGAACGAACGCUGGCGGCAUGCCUAAUACAUGCAAGUCGAACGAACUCUUCGGAGUUAGUGGCGCACGGGUGCGUAACGCGUGGGAAUCUGCCCCUUGGUUCGGAAUAACAGUUGGAAACGACUGCUAAUACCGGAUGAUGACGAAAGUCCAAAGAUUUAUCGCCAAGGGAUGAGCCCGCGUAGGAUUAGCUAGGUUGGUGAGGUAAAGGCUCGACCAAGGCAACGAUCCUUAGCUGGUCUGAGAGGAUGAUCAGACCACGACUGGGACUGAGACCACGGCCAGACUCUACGGAGCAGCAGAGGAUAUGACAAGUGGCGAAAGCUGAUCAGACAAUGCGCGUGAGUGAUGAAGGUCCUAGGUUAGUAAAGCUCUUUACCGUAGAC